This 456-nucleotide ribosomal RNA is filed under the name uncultured bacterium. RNAcentral describes it as "bacterial SSU rRNA". It matches the Rfam family "Bacterial small subunit ribosomal RNA", at positions 343 to 796 of the family's 1533-position model. The record is from RNAcentral.
CGGAGGCAGCAGUGGGGAAUAUUGGUCAAUGGGCGCAAGCCUGAACCAGCCAUGCCGCGUGCAGGAAGACGGUCCUAUGGAUUGUAAACUGCUUUUAUUUGGGAAUAAACCUCUUUACGUGUAGAGAGCUGAAGGUACCAAAUGAAUAAGCACCGGCUAACUCCGUGCCAGCAGCCGCGGUAAUACGGAGGGUGCAAGCGUUAUCCGGAAUCAUUGGGUUUAAAGGGUCCGCAGGCGGGAAGAUAAGUCAGUGGUGAAAUCUCACAGCUCAACUGUGAAACUGCCAUUGAUACUGUCUUUCUUGAAUUCGAUCGAAGUGGGCGGAAUGUGACAUGUAGCGGUGAAAUGCUUAGAUAUGUCACAGAACACCGAUAGCGAAGGCAGCUCACUAGGUCUGGAUUGACGCUCAGGGACGAAAGCGUGGGGAGCAAACAGGAUUAGAUACCCCGGUAGUCC